GUGGACGCCAGUCUGCGUGGAGCCGACCUUGAAAUACCACCCUUUAAUGUUUGAUGUUCUAACGUGGACCCGUGAUCCGGGUUGCGGACAGUGUCUGGUGGGUAGUUUGACUGGGGCGGUCUCCUCCUAAAGAGUAACGGAGGAGCACGAAGGUUGGCUAAUCCUGGUCGGACAUCAGGAGGUUAGUGCAAUGGCAUAAGCCAGCUUGACUGCGAGCGUGACGGCGCGAGCAGGUGCGAAAGCAGGUCAUAGUGAUCCGGUGGUUCUGAAUGGAAGGGCCAUCGCUCAACGGAUAAAAGGUACUCCGGGGAUAACAGGCUGAUACCGCCCAAGAGUUCAUAUCGACGGCGGUGUUUGGCACCUCGAUGUCGGCUCAUCACAUCCUGGGGCUGAAGUAGGUCCCAAGGGUAUGGCUGUUCGCCAUUUAAAGUGGUACGCGAGCUGGGUUUAGAACGUCGUGAGACAGUUCGGUCCCUAUCUGCCGUGGGCGCUGGAGAACUGAGGGGGGCUGCUCCUAGUACGAGAGGACCGGAGUGGACGCAUCACUGGUGUUCGGGUUGUCAUGCCAAUGGCACUGCCCGGUAGCUAAAUGCGGAAGAGAUAAGUGCUGAAAGCAUCUAAGCACGAAACUUGCCCCGAGAUGAGUUCUCCCUGAGACUUAGAGUCUCCUGAAGGAACGUUGAAGACGACGACGUUGAUAGGCCGGGUGUGUAAGCGCAGCGAUG
RNAcentral lists this ribosomal RNA (725 nucleotides) under Salmonella enterica subsp. enterica serovar Newport. RNAcentral's name for it is "partial 23S ribosomal RNA". It matches the Rfam family "Bacterial large subunit ribosomal RNA", at positions 2164 to 2883 of the family's 2925-position model. The record is from RNAcentral. Lineage: Bacteria; Pseudomonadati; Pseudomonadota; Gammaproteobacteria; Enterobacterales; Enterobacteriaceae.